UUGGCCUGGAUUUAAUUGGCCCACUGCGAGAAACUGGUCAAAAAAACAAGUAUGUGUUGACCAUGACUGAUUUAUAUACAAAGUGGGUUGUUGCUGAGCCACUGCAAAAUAAGACUGCAACUGAAGUGUCAGCAGCCAUCAUAAAGACACUCUACUUGUUCGGCAUGGUCAAGAAAAUUAUUACUGACCAAGGGAGAGAGUUUGUUAAUGAGCUGAAUGAAAACAUCUUUGCAACUCUGAAAAUCAAACAUGCUGUCUCAAGUGCCUACCACCCUCAGACAAAUGGGCAGGAUGAGCGAACAAAUCAAAAUGUCAAACGUGUAUUGCGGAAGUAUGUAAAUGAAAGCCAUAAUGAUUGGGACAUCCAUUUACCUGCAGUUGUGUAUGGUAUUAACACU
Molecule: long non-coding RNA, 398 nt
Organism: Astyanax mexicanus (Mexican tetra)
Lineage: Eukaryota; Metazoa; Chordata; Actinopteri; Characiformes; Acestrorhamphidae
Exons: 3
Source: RefSeq, a predicted model, not a curated record